ACAUUUCAGGCAUGCUACCUGCAGGAUGUGCCAGUCCAAACAAUAGCAGUUCAAGUGAAUUAGCAUUUGGAGCAUUAGAGGCCUUCUCAUUUGCAGAAGACAUGGCAGCACUCUUGCUACCAUCACCAACAGGAACUGUUUGUUGAGUCUGCACUACUGCUGUUGUUGCAGAAGGCUCAAGCUUCCUGCUGUCUGUUAUGGGAAUAUUGAAAGAUUAAAAGUCGAGCAUGUGUAGAGAAGGUGUUCAAGGAUCCCAAAAGCAAGAGGUUGCUCAAGAAUCAUCACUUUAGUCAUACCUUAAGCCACAUUAAAAGUCAUUGGAUGAGAUAUCUGUCCUUUCUUGCAAUCAAAAUGGAGCCAUUCCAGAAAAACUAAAUAAAUAAGCUAUGCGCAUUUUACAAUUCAAUAAAGAAAAGUGAUCUGUUGCGGUUUGAUUUCUGAAAACUUUUCAAAAGUGAAGAGAAGAAUGGUCUAUCCUAUGUACCUUUCAUGUUCAGCAAGUUGUGUUUCAUGUUUGUCACUAUUUUUUCUAUCUGACAUGGAGCUGUACAUACACUGGCCAAAUUCAAAAUUUGAAGCGAGAAAUCAUUCCAGUUCAA
Non-coding RNA from Coffea arabica (coffee), 599 nucleotides. The record is from RefSeq and is a predicted model, not a curated record. Lineage: Eukaryota; Viridiplantae; Streptophyta; Magnoliopsida; Gentianales; Rubiaceae.